AUUUAAUUCAGUGCUAGAGGCUGGAAAUGUCGACCGUAUACGGUGCUUGAACGAGAAUUCAAUUGACCCCGUGCAAGUUUUAUUGCAUGAUACAACCGGGACAACUGCUUGGCAACGAAGUUGCGUACAAUAAAAUUGUUGUCGACUCUUGUGUCGACAUCACAUGUUGAAUGUGCUGCAUAUUUAAAGGGGCUUGGAUGAGCAUGCUGCAGUCGACAAAAGAAAUUUAGAUGUUAUUGAAACUAAAGCGGUGUAAACGUAGGGGAAAAGCGGGUAACACCGUCAAGGUGGGUAAGCCCGUCACCCCACUGAUUUUACCAGAAAACAGUUAUUUAGUAGCUUUUUGGCCACACACCUUAUUUGUUUUUACCAUGUUUACUAUUUUUGACGCGAAGAAAACAAACAAAUCAAACGCACAUGUUGGUUGUUGCGUCAACGGCGGAUGUAAUUUUUAGCCUCUGGAUGACAAAACAAGGACAGAAUUUUUUUUAAUCAAUCAAGUAUUUUUAUCUGUACUAUUCUUUAGUGCCAAGAUUCAUCGAAAGGUAAGUUUCAAUAAUUUUUCCAUUACGACGAGCUUUUUUCGACGGUUUUUAAAACAACGCGGUUUUUUUAGGGGCUUCACUUCAGUGUAAGUCAUUUGUCUGCUUUUUGAUGUUCUAGCAAUCGUUUCUGUUUCCACGUCUCGUGCAUAGUGCUUGCUCCGUUAUUUCGCCAAUCUUCGUGUGAUUUCUACAACCUGUUCAUGCUGAGGAAGAGGACUUCCAGAAGGAACUUCUGGAUAAUUUGCAGAGGAAACUCCUGCAAGAUUCCCAAAAGCAACUCCCGGAGGACUCCCAGAAGCUCGCAGGCCAUCGCUCCGAGCUACGAAGAAUUCCGUGUCUGUGUCUCCAAAUCCUACGAACCCAUACCGUGUGUGGUCAUCUAGUGUGCUUGCCUCGAAUCCAACGCCAGCGUGUACAGCAGUGAAGCUUGUGACUGACUGAGCAUGCCGAAUCCUUCUUGUGAGUACAGUUUUAUGGUGAGGCAAUGGCUCGGGAGUGGCAGGAUGUGGCUUCGGAAGAACCCUACUUUAACGGGACGACUCACCAUCCAACGGCCAACCAGUCAUCGAAGCACCAAAACUGCAUGCGGGAACUCGGAAGAUAGGUGCCAGGACCUUUCCGAAACGGAAUUCGGCGAUUAGGAACCACACACAAUUCUUUACUACACUACACUUUAUUAAUCAUUAAAGUACACUGCACUCUAUUUGCGACUGUACGGUUUAUUAAAACUUCUCUCUUCAAGCUUCUGACACAGA
Long non-coding RNA from Aedes albopictus (Asian tiger mosquito), 1300 nucleotides. RefSeq lists it as uncharacterized. Lineage: Eukaryota; Metazoa; Arthropoda; Insecta; Diptera; Culicidae. The record is from RefSeq and is a predicted model, not a curated record. The transcript has 2 exons.